UACGUAGGUCCCGAGCGUUGUCCGGAUUUAUUGGGCGUAAAGCGAGCGCAGGUGGUUUAUUAAGUCUGGUGUAAAAGGCAGUGGCUCAACCAUUGUAUGCAUUGGAAACUGGUAGACUUGAGUGCAGGAGAGGAGAGUGGAAUUCCAUGUGUAGCGGUGAAAUGCGUAGAUAUAUGGAGGAACACCGGUGGCGAAAGCGGCUCUCUGGCCUGUAACUGACACUGAGGCUCGUAAGCGUGGGGAGCAAACAGG
This 252-nucleotide ribosomal RNA is filed under the name uncultured bacterium. Its description in RNAcentral is "partial 16S ribosomal RNA". It matches the Rfam family "Bacterial small subunit ribosomal RNA", at positions 524 to 776 of the family's 1533-position model. The record is from RNAcentral.